CGGCCGCGUCGACAUCUGCCCUGUACUUUGGGAUAAGCCUGGGAAACUGGGUCUAAUACCGAAUAUGACCACUUCUUGGAUGGGGUGGUGGAAAGCUUUUGCGGUAUGGGAUGAGCUCGCGGCCUAUCAGCUUGUUGGUGGGGUAAUGGCCUACCAAGGCGUCGACGGGUAGUCGGCCUGAGAGGGUGUACGGCCACAUUGGGACUGAGAUACGGCCCAGACUCCUACGGGAGCAGCAGC
RNAcentral lists this ribosomal RNA (240 nucleotides) under uncultured bacterium. RNAcentral describes it as "partial 16S ribosomal RNA". It matches the Rfam family "Bacterial small subunit ribosomal RNA", at positions 112 to 355 of the family's 1533-position model. The record is from RNAcentral.